This 24-nucleotide microRNA is filed under the name Equus caballus (horse). RNAcentral describes it as "eca-miR-8952". The record is from miRBase by way of RNAcentral. Lineage: Eukaryota; Metazoa; Chordata; Mammalia; Perissodactyla; Equidae.
UGCCCCCAGGCACGCUGUCGGUGC